UAAUACGUAGGGGGCGAGCGUUGUCCGAAGUCACUGGGCGUAAAGCGCGCGUAGGCGGUCUUUUAAGUUGGAUGUGAAAUCCUGCGGCCCAACCGCAGAACUGCAUCCAAAACUGGGAGACUUGAGGAUGGAAGAGGGCAGUGGAAUUCCUGGUGUAGCGGUGAAAUGCGUAGAUAUCAGGAGGAACACCCGUGGCGAAGGCGGCUGCCUGGUCCAUAUCUGACGCUGAGGUGCGAAAGCCAGGGGAGCGAACGGG
RNAcentral lists this ribosomal RNA (256 nucleotides) under uncultured bacterium. RNAcentral describes it as "partial 16S ribosomal RNA". It matches the Rfam family "Bacterial small subunit ribosomal RNA", at positions 521 to 776 of the family's 1533-position model. The record is from RNAcentral.